CGUAGGCAGCGAGCGUUGUUCGGAGUUACUGGGCGUAAAGAGUGCGUAGGCGGUUUUCUAAGUUUGGUGUGAAAUCUCCCGGCUUAACUGGGAGGGUGCGCCGAAGACUGGAAGGCUUGAGUAUGGGAGAGGUAAGCGGAAUUCCUGGUGUAGCGGUGAAAUGCGUAGAUAUCAGGAGGAACACCUGCGGUGUAGACGGCUUACUGGACCAUAACUGACGCUGAGGCACGAAAGCGUGGGUAGCAAACAGGAUUAGAUACCCUGGUAGUCCACGCCCUAAACGAUGCAUACUUGGUGUGGGUAGUUCAUUCUAUCCGUGCCGGAGCUAACGCGUUAAGUAUGCCGCCUGGGGAGUACGGUCGCAAGGCUG
This 370-nucleotide ribosomal RNA is filed under the name uncultured organism. RNAcentral's name for it is "bacterial SSU rRNA". It matches the Rfam family "Bacterial small subunit ribosomal RNA", at positions 526 to 896 of the family's 1533-position model. The record is from RNAcentral.